This 270-nucleotide unclassified non-coding RNA is filed under the name Hevea brasiliensis (rubber tree). The record is from RNAcentral. Lineage: Eukaryota; Viridiplantae; Streptophyta; Magnoliopsida; Malpighiales; Euphorbiaceae.
GUGAAGAAACACAUUCCACUGAGUUUACAUGGUAUGGACAUGUGGUAUGGUCAAAACCUGAAGUCAGUGUCUCCUCUCACCCUCUGUUCCUUCCAGAAUGGGCCUUCUGUCCCGGCUAUUGACACUAUGAUGUUGAGAAUCGAUAUAUACACUCUGAAGUUCUGAUUCCCGCACAUUAAGAAAAUUGGAGUUAUUAGAAGACUGAGCACCAUUCUGCGAUUCUGCCAACAUCUGAAAGUAAGCAUGAGGUCCCCAGCCAUCUAUAUCAUA